GACGAACGCUGGCGGCGUGCUUAACACAUGCAAGUCGAACGAAGUGGCGAACGGGUGAGUAACGCGUAAUCAACCUGCCCUUCAGAGGGGGACAACAGUUGGAAACGACUGCUAAUACCGCAUACUGAAGGAGGGGAUUGCGUCUGGUUAGCUAGUUGGGGGGGUAACGGGCUACAAAGGCGACGAUCAGUAGCCGGGUGAGGGGGAUGAACGGCCACAUUGGGAACGGGACAAGGCCCAGACGCCUAAGGGAGGCAGCAGGGGGGGAAGUGCCGCAAUGGACGCAAGGCUGACGGGGCAACGCCGGGUGAGUGAUGACGGCCUUCGGGUUGUAAAGCUUUGUUAAUCGGGACGCAGUACCGGAAUAGAAAGCCACGGCUAACUACGUGCCAGCAGCCGCGGUAAUAC
Molecule: ribosomal RNA, 408 nt
Filed under: uncultured bacterium
Lineage: Bacteria
Description: partial 16S ribosomal RNA
Rfam family: Bacterial small subunit ribosomal RNA
Source: RNAcentral